GAUGAACGCUGGCGGCGUGCUUAACACAUGCAAGUCGAGCGAAGCGCUUAAGUUUGAUUCUUUGGAUGAAGACUUUUGUGACUGAGCGGCGGACGGGUGAGUAACGCGUGGGUAACCUGCCUCAUACAGGGGGAUAACAGUUAGAAAUGACUGCUAAUACCGCAUAAGACCACAGUACUGCAUGGUACAGUGGUAAAAACUCCGGUGGUAUGAGAUGGACCCGCGUCUGAUUAGGUAGUUGGUGAGGUAACGGCCCACCAAGCCGACGAUCAGUAGCCGACCUGAGAGGGUGACCGGCCACAUUGGGACUGAGACACGGCCCAGACCCCUACGGGAGGCAGCAGUGGGGAAUAUUGCACAAUGGGCGAAAGCCUGAUGCAGCGACGCCGCGUGAAGGAUGAAGUAUUUCGGUAUGUAAACUUCUAUCAGCAGGGAAGAAAAUGACGGUACCUGACUAAGAAGCCCCGGCUAACUACGUGCCAGCAGCCGCGGUAAUACGUAGGGGGCAAGCGUUAUCCGGAUUUACUGGGUGUAAAGGGAGCGUAGACGGCUGUGCAAGUCUGAAGUGAAAGGCAUGGGCUCAACCUGUGGACUGCUUUGGAAACUGUGCAGCUAGAGUGUCGGAGAGGUAAGUGGAAUUCCUAGUGUAGCGGUGAAAUGCGUAGAUAUUAGGAGGAACACCAGUGGCGAAGGCGGCUUACUGGACGAUGACUGACGUUGAGGCUCGAAAGCGUGGGGAGCAAACAGGAUUAGAUACCCUGGUAGUCCACGCUGUAAACGA
RNAcentral lists this ribosomal RNA (781 nucleotides) under uncultured bacterium. Its description in RNAcentral is "bacterial SSU rRNA". It matches the Rfam family "Bacterial small subunit ribosomal RNA", at positions 28 to 809 of the family's 1533-position model. The record is from RNAcentral.